Molecule: ribosomal RNA, 253 nt
Filed under: uncultured bacterium
Lineage: Bacteria
Description: partial 16S ribosomal RNA
Rfam family: Bacterial small subunit ribosomal RNA
Source: RNAcentral
UACGGAGGGGGCUAGCGUUGUUCGGAAUUACUGGGCGUAAAGCGCACGUAGGCGGACUGUUAAGUCGGGGGUGAAAUCCUGGGGCUUAACCUCAGAAUUGCCUCCGAUACUGGCAGUCUCGAGUGCGGGAGAGGUGAGUGGAAUUCCCAGUGUAGAGGUGAAAUUCGUAGAUAUUGGGAAGAACACCAGUGGCGAAGGCGGCUCACUGGCCCGUAACUGACGCUGAGGUGCGAAAGCGUGGGGAGCAAACAGG